AAUGAGCCUGCGAGUUGUGGUGUCUGGCAAGGUUAAGCAAACGCGAAGCCGUAGCGAAAGCGAGUCUGAAUAGGGCGCUUAGUCAGAUGCUGCAGACCCGAAACGAAGUGAUCUAUCCAUGAGCAAGUUGAAGCUAGUGUAAGAACUAGUGGAGGACUGAACCCAUAGGCGUUGAAAAGCCCCGGGAUGACUUGUGGAUAGGGGUGAAAGGCCAAUCAAACUUCGUGAUAGCUGGUUCUCUCCGAAAUAUAUUUAGGUAUAGCGUUGUGUCGUAAUAUAAGGGGGUAGAGCACUGAAUGGGCUAGGGCAUACACCAAUGUACCAAACCCUAUCAAACUCCGAAUACCUUAUAUGUAAUCACAGCAGUCAGGCGGCGAGUGAUAAAAUCCGUCGUCAAGAGGGAAACAACCCAGACUACCAGCUAAGGUCCCUAAAUCUUACUUAAGUGGAAAACGAUGUGAAGUUACUUAAACAACCAGGAGGUUGGCUUAGAAGCAGCCAUCCUUUAAAGAAAGCGUAAUAGCUCACUGGUCUAGUGAUUUUGCGCGGAAAAUAUAACGGGGCUAAAGUAAGUACCGAAGCUGUAGACUUGCGCACAACUUAGAUUAUUUAAGUUUAGAAUAUGAGAAACUAAGUUAUGUUUAGUUAUAUUUUUACUGAUUUUUAUAGAGUAAAGAUAGAAAUAAAACUUAGUAAAAUCAGUAAAAAUAUUCUUAGGCUAAAGUUAAGUAGUUUAAGUUGUGUGCAAGUGGUAGGAGAGCGUUCUAUUUGCGUCGAAGGUAUACCGGUAAGGAGUGCUGGAGCGAAUAGAAGUGAGCAUGCAGGCAUGAGUAGCGAUAAUUAAUGUGAGAAUCAUUAACGCCGUAAACCCAAGGUUUCCUACGCGAUGCUCGUCAUCGUAGGGUUAGUCGGGUCCUAAGUCGAGUCCGAAAGGGGUAGACGAUGGCAAAUUGGUUAAUAUUCCAAUACCAACAUUAGUGUGCGAUGGAAGGACGCUUAGGGCUAAGGGGGCUAGCGGAUGGAAGUGCUAGUCUAAGGUCGUAGGAGGUUAUACAGGCAAAUCCGUAUAACAAUACUCCGAGAACUGAAAGGCUUUUUGAAGUCUUCGGAUGGAUAGAAGAACCCCUGAUGCCGUCGAGCCAAGAAAAGUUUCUAAGUUUAGCUAAUGUUGCCCGUACCGUAAACCGACACAGGUGGGUGGGAUGAGUAUUCUAAGGCGCGUGGAAGAACUCUCUUUAAGGAACUCUGCAAAAUAGCACCGUAUCUUCGGUAUAAGGUGUGGUUAGCUUUGUAUUAGGAUUUACUCCGAAAGCAAGGAAACUUACAACAAAGAGUCCCUCCCGACUGUUUACCAAAAACACAGCACUCUGCUAACUCGUAAGAGGAUGUAUAGGGUGUGACGCCUGCCCGGUGCUCGAAGGUUAAUUGAUGGGGUUAGCAUUAGCGAAGCUCUUGAUCGAAGCCCGAGUAAACGGCGGCCGUAACUAUAACGGUCCUAAGGUAGCGAAAUUCCUUGUCGGUUAAAUACCGACCUGCAUGAAUGGCGUAACGAGAUGGGAGCUGUCUCAAAGAGGGAUCCAGUGAAAUUGUAGUGGAGGUGAAAAUUCCUCCUACCCGCGGCAAGACGGAAAGACCCCGUGGACCUUUACUACAGCUUGACACUGCUACUUGGAUAAGAAUGUGCAGGAUAGGUGGGAGGCUUUGAGUAUAUGACGCCAGUUGUAUAUGAGCCAUUGUUGAGAUACCACUCUUUCUUAUUUGGGUAGCUAACCAGCUUGAGUUAUCCUCAAGUGGGACAAUGUCUGGUGGGUAGUUUGACUGGGGCGGUCGCCUCCCAAAUAAUAACGGAGGCUUACAAAGGUUGGCUCAGAACGGUUGGAAAUCGUUCGUAGAGUAUAAAGGUAUAAGCCAGCUUAACUGCAAGACAUACAAGUCAAGCAGAGACGAAAGUCGGUCUUAGUGAUCCGGUGGUUCUGUGUGGAAGGGCCAUCGCUCAAAGGAUAAAAGGUACCCCGGGGAUAACAGGCUGAUCUCCCCCAAGAGCUCACAUCGACGGGGAGGUUUGGCACCUCGAUGUCGGCUCAUCGCAUCCUGGGGCUGGAGCAGGUCCCAAGGGUAUGGCUGUUCGCCAUUUAAAGCGGUACGCGAGCUGGGUUCAGAACGUCGUGAGACAGUUCGGUCCCUAUCUGCCGUGGGCGUAAGAAGAUUGAAGAGAUUUGACCCUAGUACGAGAGGACCGGGUUGAACAAACCACUGGUGUAGCUGUUGUUCUGCCAAGAGCAUCGCAGCGUAGCUAAGUUUGGAAAGGAUAAACGCUGAAAGCAUCUAAGCGUGAAGCCAACUCUAAGAUGAAUCUUCUCUAAGCUCUCUAGAAGACUACUAGUUUGAUAGGCUGGGUGUGUAAUGGAUGAAAGUCCUUUAGCUGACCAGUACUAAUAGAGCGUUUGGCUUAUCUUUAAUAAAGCAU
Molecule: ribosomal RNA, 2467 nt
Filed under: Campylobacter jejuni
Lineage: Bacteria; Pseudomonadati; Campylobacterota; Epsilonproteobacteria; Campylobacterales; Campylobacteraceae
Description: partial 23S ribosomal RNA
Rfam family: Bacterial large subunit ribosomal RNA
Source: RNAcentral